GCGCCCGUAGCUCAGCUGGAUAGAGCACCUGGCUUCGAACCAGGUGGUCGGGAGUUCGAAUCUCUCCGGGCGCG
RNAcentral lists this transfer RNA (74 nucleotides) under Chromatocurvus halotolerans. It matches the Rfam family "tRNA". From Rfam's summary of the family: Transfer RNA (tRNA) molecules are approximately 80 nucleotides in length. Their secondary structure includes four short double-helical elements and three loops (D, anti-codon, and T loops). Further hydrogen bonds mediate the characteristic L-shaped molecular structure. tRNAs have two regions of fundamental functional importance: the anti-codon, which is responsible for specific mRNA codon recognition, and the 3' end, to which the tRNAs corresponding amino acid is attached (by aminoacyl-tRNA synthetases). tRNAs cope with the degeneracy of the genetic code in two manners: having more than one tRNA (with a specific anti-codon) for a particular amino acid; and 'wobble' base-pairing, i.e. permitting non-standard base-pairing at the 3rd anti-codon position. Lineage: Bacteria; Pseudomonadati; Pseudomonadota; Gammaproteobacteria; Cellvibrionales; Halieaceae. The record is from Rfam by way of RNAcentral. RNAcentral also lists the same sequence under 2 other names.